This 99-nucleotide ribosomal RNA is filed under the name Meriones unguiculatus (Mongolian gerbil). Lineage: Eukaryota; Metazoa; Chordata; Mammalia; Rodentia; Muridae. The record is from RNAcentral.
AUAUGUAGGCACACCACCCUGAACACUCCCUCUCCUGGAAGUUAAGCAAGGUGGGUCUUGGUUAGUACUCAGAUGGGAGAAUGAAAGGCUCGAGAUGAG